UGCAAAGUCAGUUUUGAAUGUGGUACUUAAGGAAUGUUAGGGUAAUAUUUUGACAGAAAGAUGACAGCAUUCCUGAUAGCAAAAGCAGGAAGGUAUCCACCAAAAGAAGAAAGUUCACAAAGUGAUGGGAACAUUUCACAUGGAUAAAAGAAGCAACUUGAAAAAGUUCCCAGUGGCCAAGACUGAGAUAAUUAGAGUAAAAUAAUAAUGAAAUGACUAGAUUUUUCACUCAUGUAAUAAAAUAAAUGCCCUUGAGUUUAU
RNAcentral lists this long non-coding RNA (261 nucleotides) under Mustela putorius furo (domestic ferret). RNAcentral describes it as "lncRNA (ENSMPUG00000024598.1)". The record is from RNAcentral. Lineage: Eukaryota; Metazoa; Chordata; Mammalia; Carnivora; Mustelidae.